Molecule: ribosomal RNA, 416 nt
Filed under: uncultured bacterium
Lineage: Bacteria
Description: bacterial SSU rRNA
Rfam family: Bacterial small subunit ribosomal RNA
Source: RNAcentral
UCGGGAAUAUUGCGCAAUGGAGGAAACUCUGACGCAGUGACGCCGCGUGCAGGAAGAAGGUUUUCGGAUUGUAAACUGCUUUAGACAGGGAAGAAACAAGACAGUACCUGUAGAAUAAGCUCCGGCUAACUACUUGCCAGCAGCCGCGGUAAUACGUAGGGAGCAAGCGUUAUCCGGAUUUAUUGGGUGUAAAGGGUGCGUAGACGGGAAUGCAAGUUGGUUGUGAAAUCCCUCGGCUCAACCGAGGAAUUGCAACCAAAACUAUAUUUCUUGAGUGCUGGAGAGGAAAGUGGAAUUCCUAGUGUAGCGGUGAAGUGCGUAGAUAUUAGGAGGAACACCAGUGGCGAAGGCGACUUUCUGGACAGUAACUGACGUUGAAGCACGAAAGUGUGGGGAGCAAACAGGAUUAGAUACCC